CCUGAGAAACGGCUACCACAUCCAAGGAAGGCAGCAGGCGCGCAAAUUACCCACUCCCGGCACGGGGAGGUAGUGACGAAAAAUAACGAUACGGGACUCUUACGAGGCCUCGUAAUCGGAAUGAGUACACUUUAAAUAUUUUAACGAGGAACAAUUGGAGGGCAAGUCUGGUGCCAGCAGCCGCGGUAAUUCCAGCUCCAAUAGCGUAUACUAAAAUUGUUGCGGUUAAAAAGCUCGUAGUUGCAUUUGUGCGCCGCGCUGUCGGUGCACCGCAUCCGCGGUGAUACUGACACGUCUGCGGAGCAUAUCGUCGGUGAGCCGUCGGUCAAACGUCGGUUCAAUAUCAAAAUCCUAUCGCGGUGCUCUUCAAUGAGUGUCGAGGUGGGCCGACAAUUUUACUUUGAACAAAUUAGAGUGCUCAAAGCGGGCUCAAAAUGCUGCUUGAAUAUUUCGUGCAUGGAAUAAUAGAAUAUGAUCUCGGUUCUAUUUUGUUGGUUUUCAGAACUCCGAGGUAAUGAUUAAUAGGGAUAACUGGGGGCAUUCGUAUUGCGACGUUAGAGGUGAAAUUCUUGGAUCGUCGCAAGACGAACAUCAGCGAAAGCAUUUGCCAAAGGUGUUUUCAUCAAUCAAGAACGAAAGUUAGAGGUUCGAAGGCGAUUAGAUACCGCCCUAGUUCUAACCGUAAAUAUGUCAUCUAGCGAUCCGCCGACGUUACUACAAUGGCUCGGCGGGCAGCUUCCGGGAAACCAAAGAUUUUGGACUCCGGGGGGAGUAUGGUUGCAAAGCUGAAACUUAAAGGAAUUGACGGAAGGGCACCACCAGGAGUGGAGCCUGCGGCUUAAUUUGACUCAACACGGGAAAUCUCACCAGGCCCGGACACCGGAAGGAUUGACAGAUUAACAGCUCUUUCUUGAUUCGGUGGGUGGUGGUGCAUGGCCGUUCUUAGUUGGUGGAGCGAUUUGUCUGGUU
RNAcentral lists this ribosomal RNA (969 nucleotides) under Mythimna separata (northern armyworm). RNAcentral's name for it is "SSU rRNA". It matches the Rfam family "Eukaryotic small subunit ribosomal RNA", at positions 395 to 1320 of the family's 1831-position model. Lineage: Eukaryota; Metazoa; Arthropoda; Insecta; Lepidoptera; Noctuidae. The record is from RNAcentral.